This is a long non-coding RNA of Capsicum annuum, 904 nucleotides long. RefSeq lists it as uncharacterized. The transcript has 6 exons. NCBI's taxonomy places the organism in Eukaryota, Viridiplantae, Streptophyta, Magnoliopsida, Solanales, Solanaceae. The record is from RefSeq and is a predicted model, not a curated record.
GAAAACUUCUGGUUUUCUCUUUGCUCAAGCUCAACAGAGUACCAUUUUAGCAUCUUUGCUCAACCAAAAUCUCUUCUUUGCUCAAUCAAAAUCUCAAAUCCAUUGAAGAAACAAAUUUUCCUAAAUGGGUUAGCUGAAAUUUGUUAGGAAUUGAAUACUGUAAGGUUAAAGGACGAAGGAUAGAGUUCAAAAUUCUUGAGGUUAUAGAGACGAAGGGUACAUUUUCAUUUAGGAUGAUUGCUGUCGAAUAUGGUGCAGACAUAACCUAUGGAGAGUAGAUUAUUGAUCAUAAGAUCAUCAAAUGUGAGCAGCGAGUUAAUGGCUACCUAGUAUCAUAUGAGAUGACAAAACAAAAGAAGUUGCUAAACUCGGUGCAUCAAAAAUAUUUCUCAUGAGUUUCAUCCCUUAUUCCUUAGAUGUCUUAGGGACUACUGACAUAUUGGAGAAGGGAACUGACAAUGUUGUUUUCAUAACAUGCCCCGAGGAAAGAAAUCAAGUUGUAUUUCAGAUGGGCACUUCUGAUGCCAUGAGGGCUCUCAAAGCUGCUGAAAUAGUGCUAGGUCAUCAGAUUCAACCGCUUAUUAUAGCUGUGAUGAUGAAUCCAGCCCAGGUGAUCGAGGUUUUGCUAAUGAGCAUAGAUCGCUGCAUCAAAAAGUACAGUAUUCUUUGAGCAACCAAAUGAAUUGGUCAACUAAUACAUUGUAUAAUUCUGAAGGGACAUUCUUAAAUAAUGGGUUGACCAAGGAGGAGCAUAAAAACGUAGAAUGCAUUUUUUAUUUUUGAUCAUAUGUAUGAAUAUGAUAAUACUGAAGAACUAUGUUGUUCUUAACAUAUAUGCCGUUGACUUCUUAUUAAGCAAUGUACUUAUAAUAUUUGAUCGGAGGAUAAUUUUGUAAAACACUAC